Molecule: long non-coding RNA, 2668 nt
Organism: Neopelma chrysocephalum (saffron-crested tyrant-manakin)
Lineage: Eukaryota; Metazoa; Chordata; Aves; Passeriformes; Pipridae
Exons: 4
Source: RefSeq, a predicted model, not a curated record
GAGAGAAAACAUAGAAAAAUAGAAACUAAAGGAAGAUUAGGGAAGUCAGAGAUGCUAAAAGGGAACAGAUCAAGUGUCUCCCUUUGGCCCAAACUUGAAAACUCUGAGGGAACAGAAAGUAAUAUCCUGUCACUGUUGUGGAGACUGCUGGUCCUUAGAAGCAAUGAAGAGGCAUCCUCAAAGUUAUAUUUAUGAGACGUUAUCCUUGUAUGGAGCCUACAAACAAGUACCUGUACAAAUAUGCCUGCCAGGAUUAAAGCUAAAGGAAGUGGAUCCUGUUGCUGUUCUGUGGAGACAGGCCAUGUCAUUCCUUCAGAUUUUUUAAUAUCAUUGCAGAGACGUAUAACUCAGGGCAGAGAGAUGGAAGGUUGUGGAUAGAAGGUGAAUGAGAAACCCUAAUCUGACAUUUUAAAACGUUUGAUAUCCCAGGAAGGCCAGCAUUUAUUUAAAUUUUUCUUUUAAACAUUUUAGAAUAGUUUAGAUAAAUUAAUAACAGUAGAAUUAUGUGAAUCAAGAUAGUAGAAACCAGAUGGGUUUUUUAGGAAGAGGGUCUACAUUUUAUGAGAUGAGCUAAUAUAAUUGUGAAAAGUAUGGAAGCUUUUGAGCUCACUAGCCUUGAUACUGUGCACAGAUUUCAAAUAAGAUUUCAAGGAUCUUUGACACUGAUCUGAGGAGGACUUCUUUAAUCUGACAUGUUGCUCUAAGUGAAUUACAAUACUUUUCUUUCACAUAGAUCCUAAAAGACAAGUGCCUAUGUGCUGGCAUUCUCUGUGCCAGUUCACUGGAGCCUGGGAUCAUAUAUGUCAACCUGGGCAAGAAUUUAUCAUGUGUAUGAUCUUCUAUAGAAAUCUGCUGAUUAUAAUCCCAUUAUGUGUGAAAUACACAUUAGGGCUACAAAAUGACACCCUUAUGAAGGCAGCUAAAUUGCAACAGAUGGGGACAGUUUUUUCUGUGACUAUAACUGCAGGUAAAAUCUGUGUUUACAGGUCUGUGUACAAACACUGCCUCCCCUCCAGCACCCCACGAGAUAAGUGUGUCUGGGAGGAGUGGAACAGCUCGGGGGAAGAGGAACAGUUCUCACACUUGCAGUCAAUGGAUUUUUAUGGUUCUUAUUACAGACUUUUGGGAUAAGAAUCAUCCCAUACUCAAUGAUCAGGCUGCUAUGCUGUUUCAUUACCACUAUAUCCAAAGGAUAUAAGUAACCAAAAAGAAUAUAGGUGGGUUUUUAUUCUACUGACAACUUCUAGAAAUGUAUUGACAGAGGAAAAUAUAGCUGUUGCAUAAAUUCAGCAAUGCCAGAAAAUAUAAUGCUGAAAACAUUUUGAGUAUAUAAAUCCAUAUUACAGAUUAAAGUUUUCAUCUCUGAGUGUUUGGGAAUUUGCCCUUUCUGUACCAAUGAAAUAUCUUCAGAAUUGCUUCUCAGGCAGCUGCACAUGUGAGCUGCAGAGACAACAGCUGAGAGGUGUUUAACAACUCUCUUGUAAUGUUCAGUGAGAUACACCUGUGCUCUGCAGAGGUUCCUGCAUGGCCUCUGUCAGGUAAAUGCUUCUAAUACAUAACUUCUAAGGUACUUCACAUGAGACAGCGUCCUUGAAAUGUAGUUUAUUUUCAUUGAAAUAAAUGGAAUUAGUCUUACUGAUGGUGUUAGCAUGUGAAUCAGUGUUUGCUGAAGGAGGUCCACAAUAACUGUUAUAAUUAACCAAUUAUAAAAUUAGCAUGUUAAAAGAAGAUGAGAAAAUGUGUUUUACUAAUUAAAGCUAUCAGCUAUUCAGUUAAAUGUCCAACUCUGCAUUUUCCCAUGAUAGACAUCAGUAGCUAAAUAGCAGGAUGAUUUUUCAUUCACUGAAAAUGGUAUUUCAACACAACACUAAUAUUGGAGUACAAACUGAAGAUUUAAUUAAGCAAAAAAAAAUACUAUUACUAGUCUAACUAGCAGCAUCUAGCCUUUAAAAAUCAUCAGUAGCUCCUCAGUGGUGGCAAUAAGAAAAAUAACAACUGUUGAAACAGUUUAGAGGCGUUUUAAUUUUCUUUUCUGCUUUAAAAGAAAUUUGAGUUUGACAAUACCUCUGAAAAUUGUCUCAGUCUGCAGUGUUACAAAUAUCACUGCUGCUGCCGAGCAGAAAUGCUUAGCAGAGUGUUUUGUAGCAGCUAAACUGGGUGGUGAUUUCCCAUUGUGGAUUCUCACCUGUGAAACAGGAGAGAGGCAUAGAGAGAAGCUGUCCAGCUUGGUCUGCAGUUAAUACCCAGGAGCUGGUUCCUUACUGAGCAGUUGUAGGGUAGAAAAUGCAGGACUUUAUGUUGCUGUUUUGCAAAACUUCCUACGUACACCCUCUCUCAAAACAAACAAAAAAAUAUUUUCCUAGGACCCACCUUUACAAACUAGAGAAUAGGGCCUAAAAUACAAAGUACUUUCUGUCUGUAAUAGCCCUUAAAAUCCUUGUAGAAUACUACACUCUUAUUAUACAUUAACGUUGGCAUGGGCCGCUGGAUACACACGUAGCAACGUGCACAAAAGGAAAUUAAUUAGGAGCAGGUAGAGGCUUCUGUUUCGUGGAUUUCAAUGCUAAGUCAUAAACUGUGUUUUAGCAACUCCUCGCGUGUAUUCCUGAGCUUUGCCAAGGCAAUGGGCCGGGUGCGGGUGCUCAGAGCCCCGUAUCCCCCGCACGAG